GCGACCCCAGGUCAGGCGGGGCUACCCGCUGAGUUUAAGCAUAUCAAUAA
RNAcentral lists this ribosomal RNA (50 nucleotides) under Patellifolia procumbens. RNAcentral describes it as "partial 28S ribosomal RNA". The record is from RNAcentral. RNAcentral also lists the same sequence under 9 other names. Lineage: Eukaryota; Viridiplantae; Streptophyta; Magnoliopsida; Caryophyllales; Amaranthaceae.